UCUCUCUCGCUUUCUCUCUCUCUCUCCGCGCUCGCGUGGGGCCAGCACUUUGCAGCAGCCUCGGCGGCGGAGAGAUAGAGAGAGAGAAUCAGGGAGGGGGCAGAGAGAGAGAGAGAAGGGAGGGGGAUUUAGAGAGAGAGAGGGAGAGAAAGGCAACCUCUGCAGGAUGGAGCCAGGCGCCGGCUGCCCGGGAACUUCCCUUUGAAAGAGGGAGAAGAAGAACCGAGGCUGCUUCUAAGGCUACUCAUCCGCUGCCUCCUUCGGCCGAGAGGGCGAUGAGAGCCGCAGCCAAACUUUGCCCGCUGGCUCCCGGAGGAUGAGGGUGCGGAUGCGGAAGAAGCGGAUCGGGAUGCGGAGAUCGGCAUGAAUGAAUGCGGCGGCGUCGCUGCAAAAUCAACAGGCGCCCAGAAGAGGAGGGGAGGAGGAGGCUCCGGGGCACCCAGCCGUGAGCGAUGGAUGAUACUCCCUGCCGCCUGCUGUUGCUGCUGCUCGCUCUCUGGUGGACUCCUCCGUCGGGCGCCCUCAUCAACCUCAAGUAUGCGGUGGAGGAGGAGCAGCGGGCCGGCACCGUGGUGGCCAACAUCGCCAAAGAUGCCCGGGACGCCGGUUUCAUACUGGACCCCCGCCAGCCGGCCGCCUUCCGGGUGGUCUCCAACUCGGCCCCACACCUGGUGGACAUCAACCCGGGCUCGGGCCUGCUGGUGACCAAGCAGAAGAUCGACCGGGACCUGCUCUGCCGGCAGAGCCCCAAGUGCGUCAUCUCCUUGGAGGUCAUGUCCAGCUCCAUGGAGAUCUGCGUGGUCAAGCUGGAGAUCAAGGACCUCAACGACAACGCGCCCAGCUUCCCCACUGACCAGAUUGCCCUGGAGAUCUCCGAGACGGCCAGUCCGGGGACGCGGGUGCCGCUGGAGAGUGCCUACGACCCGGACUCGGGCAGCUUCGGGGUGCAGAGCUACGAGAUCACACCCAACGACCUCUUUGGGCUGGAGACCAAGACGCGGGGCGAUGGCUCUCGCUUUGCUGAGCUGGUGGUGGAGAAGAGCCUGGACCGCGAGACCCAGUCGCACUACAGUUACAUGAUCACGGCUCUGGAUGGGGGAGACCCGCCCAACUUUGGCACCGUGGAGUUGAACAUCAGGGUCAUCGACUCCAAUGACAACAACCCCCUCUUCGAAGAGCCAUCCUACACCGUCAGUGUGCCCGAGAACUCUCCUUCUGGCACGCCGGUGAUCAGACUCAAUGCCACAGACCCCGAUGAGGGCACCAAUGGGCAAGUGCUGUACUCCAUCCACAGCUACGUGUCUGAAAAGGCCAGGGACCUCUUCCAAAUUAAUCCCCAAACCGGGCUGAUCACGGUCAUUGGUGCCAUUGACUAUGAGGAGGGCCAUGCCUACGAACUGGAUGUGCAGGCCAAGGAUCUGGGCCCUAAUUCUAUUCCCGCCCACUGCAAAGUGACAGUCAGCGUCCAAGAUGCCAAUGACAACCCUCCUCUCAUUAACUUGCUCUCUGUGAACAGCGAGUUGGUGGAGGUCAGUGAAAACGCCCCUCCGGGUUAUGUGAUCGCCCUGGUGAGGGUUUCUGACCGCGAUUCUGGUGCAAAUGGCCGAGUACAAUGCAAGCUGCUGGGCAGUGUGCCUUUCCGCCUGCAAGAAUACGAAAGCUUCUCCACCAUCUUGGUGGAUGGACGGCUGGACAGGGAGCAAAGGGACCAGUACAACCUCACCAUCCAGGCUAAAGACAAUGGGAUCCCCUCUUUGCAAGCGACCAAGUCCUUCACCGUGAAGAUCACGGAUGAAAACGACAACCAUCCUCAUUUCUCGAAACCGUACUACCAGGUCAUUGUGCAAGAGAAUAACACCCCUGGGGCCUACCUCCUCUCUGUUUCUGCCAGGGACCCCGAUCUAGGCCUUAAUGGCAGUGUCUCCUAUCAGAUUGUGCCCUCCCAAGUCCGAGACAUGCCUGUCUUUACUUACGUCUCUAUCAACCCCAACUCGGGAGACAUCUACGCCUUGAGGUCCUUCAACCACGAGCAAACCAAGUCCUUUGAGUUCAAAGUCUUGGCCAAAGACGGAGGCAACCCUUCCUUGCAAAGCAACGCCACCAUCCGAGUCAUUGUCUUGGACGUCAACGACAACACCCCUGUGAUAACCGCCCCUCCGCUGGUCAACGGGACCGCAGAAGUCUACAUCCCCAGGAACGCCGGGGUUGGCUACUUGGUGACUGUGGUCAAGGCGGACGAUUACGACGAAGGAGAGAACGGGAGACUUUCCUAUGAGAUGGCGGAGGGAGACCGAGGGUUUUUUGAGAUUGACCAGGUGAACGGUGAGAUAAGGACCACCAGAGCCUUUGGGGAGAAUUCAAAGACUACCUACGAGUUGAUUGUGGUGGCUCAUGACCAUGGGAAAACUUCUCUCUCUGCUUCUGCCUUGAUUUUGAUAUACCUUUCUCCAUCUCUGGACGCCCAGGAAUCCAUAGGAUCUGUUAACCUGUCCCUGAUUUUUAUUAUCGCCCUGGGUUCUAUCGCCGCCAUCCUGUUUGUCACCAUGAUCUUCGUCGCCGUGAAGUGUAAGCGGGACAACAAAGAAAUCAGGACCUACAACUGCAGAAUUGCAGAGUACUCCUACGGGCAUCAAAAGAAAUCCAACAAGAAGAAAAAGAUCAGCAAGAACGACAUCCGCCUCGUGCCGCGCGAUGUAGAGGAGACCGAUAAAAUGAACGUUGUGAGCUGUUCCUCCCUGACCUCCUCCCUCAAUUACUUUGACUAUCACCAACAGACGUUGCCUCUGGGUUGCCGCCGGUCGGAAAGCACCUUUCUCAAUGUGGAGAACCAAAACAAUCGGAACACGGGGUCCAACCACGUCUACCACCACACCUUCACGGGCCAGAGUCCUCAGCAGCCGGAUCUCAUCAUCAACGGGAUGCCACUUCCAGAGACGGAAAACUACUCGUUCGAUUCCAACUAUGUCAACAGCAGAGCCCAUUUAAUAAAAAGCAGUUCGACAUUCAAAGACUUGGAGGGGAACAGCCUGAAGGACAGCGGGCACGAAGAGAGUGACCAGACGGACAGCGAACACGACGUCCAGCGUGGCCUCUACUGUGACACGGCCGUGAAUGAUGUCUUGAACACCAGCGUCACCUCCAUGGGCUCUCAGGUGCCUGAACAAGGUGCCUCUCCGCUUGGUGUUUCCACUUAGCUUGGAUGUUUCAAUUUUUUGGAUGUUUAGUUCAACUCCUCUCGCUCGAGUCCUCUCUGGCAUCUCUCCCCCUCGGAGGGAAGGCUUUCAAUGAGUGUUGCUCAGCUAUUUCCUUAAAUACAUCGUCUUCUUUUCUCUUUCCCUCAAUCUCGAGAUGCUCCCACUGCUUUUCAUUUGAUCAGGUGCUGAGGGGAAGUUUCAGCUACAGUGUAAUUCUCUAGACCUUCUUUAACCUUCUGGAAAAUAGGAUAUUUACUCUUUCCUACUCAUCUUUCCUCCGCAAACUCUCAAAAGUAAUUGCAAAUGCUGCUUUUUUACCACCUCUGCUAGUUCACCUGAAGACUCCAGGGCGAAUUUCAUUGGGCUCUGCUGAUAUGAAUAUAUUCCAUUGAUCUAGAUGUAGGUAUUACUUCUUCCUUCUGUGGUUUCAUUACUUGGAACUGCAUUACGCAUCGCAUCCUUCCUGCCUCUCAUUCUGCUAAGUAAUUCUUUCUUGCAUCUCCCUUCACGUUGGCUAUUUUCUGCUAGAAAUGAUGUUCUCCCUUUGCGGAUUGCGCUGGGCCUGGAUGAAGAACAAUAUGGUUAAAUUAGGAGGCCAAACGAUCAGUGUUCCAGUGAAUGUUCACAUCGAAAGGCACCGUGGAGUUUGGCAUCGAUGGAAGAACACACAUUGAAUUAGUUUGAAGGUAAUCGUGAAAAAGGACUCUCUUUCCCUUCUCUUAUUGCUUUUGCGGAUCAAAAUAGAGCAAAUAAGCACCUGUCACUUCAGCAGCAAUCGUUCAAGAAAGAUCUGCUUUGAUGAAAUAUAGAUAAAUGACAGUUCUCCCAAAGUUGCUGCAAAGUUGCCGGGCUGUGGCGCAGGCUGUUGAGCAACCAGCUGCAACAAAUCACUCUGACCAAGAGGUCAUGAGUUCGAGGCCAGCUCGGAGCCCCGUGUUUGUCUUGUCUUUGUUCUAUGUUAAGGCAUUGAAUGUUUGCCUUAUAUGUGUAAUGUGAUCCGCCCUGAGUCCCCGUCGGGGUGAGAAGGGCAGAAUAUAAAUGCUGUAAAUAAAAUAAAUAAAUAAAAACAGGGGCUGCUUAGGGUGUAAGUCUUUGGAGACCAUAUUGGCCUCUUUGUAAUGCCUUUUCAUGAUUCUGCUAUUUUAGAUGACAAUGUCGGCAUAAUCAACGCUCUGUAAAGUUGGUGCAGACAUCCUCAUAACCUCUGAGGAAGCUUGCCAUAGAUGUGGGCGAAACGUCAGGAGAGAAUGCUUCUGGAACAUAGCCAUACAGCCCAGAAAACUCACAGCAACCCAGUGAUUCCAGCCAUGAAAACCUUCAACAACACAUUGAACAUCUCUAUGGGGAGAAACUGUUAAAUCCCACUUGCCCAGUUUCUAACAGACCUCACAACCUCUGAGGAUGCCUGCCAUAGAUGUGGGUGAAACAUCAGGAGAGAAUGCUUCUGGAGCUUGGAUGUACAGUCUGAAAAACUCACAGCAACCCAGUGAUUCCAGCCAUGAAAGCUUUCAACAACACAUUGAACAUAUCUACUGUUAAACCCCACUUGCUGUGUUUCCAACAGGCUUCACAACCUCCGAGGAUGCCUGCCAUAGAUGUGGGUGAAACGUCAGGAGAGAAUGCUUCUGGAGCUUGGAGGUACAGUCCGAAAAACUCACAGCCACCCAGUGAUUCCAGCCAUGAAAGCCUUCAACAACACAUUGAACAUUUCUACUGUUAAACCCCACUUGCUGAGUUUCCAGCAGGCUUCACAACCUCCGAGGAUGCCUGCCAUAGAUGUGGGUGAAACGUCAGGAGAGAAUGCUUCUGGAGCUUGGCUGUAUAGUCCGAAAAACUCACAGCCACCCAGUGAUUCCAGCCAUGAAAGCCUUCAACAACACAGAAUAUUUCUACCAUUAAACCCCCACUUGCUGAGUUUCCAGCAGGCUUCACAACCUCCGAGGAUGCCUGUCAUAGAUGUGGGUGAAACGUCAGGAGAGAAUGCUUCUGGAGCUUGGAUGUACAGUCCGAAAAACUCACAGCCACCCAGUGAUUCCAGCCAUGAAAGCCUUCAACAACACAUUAAACAUAUCUACUGUUAAACCCCACUUGCUGAGUUUCCAGCAGGCUUCGGAUGCCUGCCAUAGAUGUGGGUGAAACGUCAGGAGAGAAUGCUUCUGGAGCUUGGAGGUACAGUCCAAAAAACUCACAGCCACCCAGUGAUUCCAGCCAUGAAAGCCUUCAACAACACAGAAUAUUUCUACCAUUAAACCCCCACUUGCUGAGUUUCCAGCAGGCUUCACAACCUCCGAGGAUGCCUGUCAUAGAUGUGGGUGAAACGUCAGGAGAGAAUGCUUCUGGAACUUGGUCAUGCAGUUUGAAAAACUCACAGCCACUCAGUGAUUCCAGCCAUGAAAGCUUUCAACAACACAUUGAACAUUUCUAUUGUUAAACCCCACUUGCUGAGUUUCCAGCAGACUUCACAACCUCUGAGGAUGCCUGUCAUAGAUGUGGGUGAAACGUCAGGAGAGAAUGCUUCUGGAGGUUGGAUGUACAGUCUGAAAAACUCACAGCAACCCAGUGAUUCCAGCCAUGAAAGCUUUCAACAACACAUUGAACACUUCUAUUGUUAAACCCCACUUGCUGAGUUUCCAGCAGGCUUCACAACCUCCGAGGAUGCCUGCCAUAGAUGUGGGUGAAACGUCAGGAGAGAAUGCUUCUGGAGCUUGGCUGUACAGUCCGAAAAACUCACAGCCACCCAGUGAUUCCAGCCAUGAAAGCUUUCAACAACACAUUGAACACUUCUAUUGUUAAACCCCACUUGCUGAGUUUCCAGCAGGCUUCACAACCUCCGAGGAUGCCUGCCAUAGAUGUGGGUGAAACGUCAGGAGAGAAUGCUUCUGGAGCUUGGCUGUACAGUCCGAAAAACUCACAGCCACCCAGUGAUUCCAGCCAUGAAAGCCUUCAACAACACAUUGAACAUUUCUACUGUUAAACCCCACUUGCUGAGUUUCCAGCAGGCUUCACAAACUCCGAGGAUGUCUGCCAUAGAUGUGGGUGAAACCUCAGGAGAGAAUGCUUCUGGAGGUUGGAUGUACAGUCCCAAAAACUCAUAGCAGCCCAGCGAUUCCAGCCAUAGAUGUGGGUGAAAUGUGAGGACAGAAUGCUUUUGGAAAAUGGCCAUACAGCCGAGAAAACUCACAGCAACCUAAAGCUCUUCUCAGAAAACGCUGGCCAGUGCCACAUAUCUCUAUCAGCACAAGUUUGAACAACAGCAACCUGUAUUAAUGUCUGUAGGAGAAAUACAAGGGACGCCUCCCCAACACCUGUCCAACCAGGUGAAUCUGGGCAGCCUGUGGGAUGUUUUGAUGUCUCCAUAACACUCAGAGAUAAACAUGAAUAGAACUUGGGAGGCUUGCAAUUCCCACUGCCAUGUGCAGUCUUCAGAAAGAACAUAGGGAAGAGGAGGAGACUCGAUUGCCACCGGUGAUGCAAUACCAGUGUGUCCUUUUCAGUUCUGCCCAUAUGGAAGACCAUCUGCCGGCAGAAAACAGACUCCGUCUAAGUGGGUUUGUGGAGCAGUAAUCUGCGAAGAUGAAUGCUUGGAGUUUGGAGAUGCAAAAAUAAGGAGUGUCAAAUAAUGUGAAGUUGCUGGUAACAACUAUGCCAGGAUCAGUCAUGCCUCGAUGCAAAAUGUGAGCAUAUCCAGACUUUCUUGGAAUGCAGAUAUAUCAGACAUGGCAUCACUUUCUGCUAGGAUGGUUUGGGAACAUCAAUAUAACCUUAGACCGAGAGUAAAUUAGUAUUUACUAUAAAUCUGGGCUAAUCACACUUUUUGUUAGGAGAUCAGCAAUUUCAUGUGUCAAUUCGUUCAGAAUUCCUGAAUGGUUAACAUCUGAUGAACCUUUAUUUAUUUCAAUAAAUGCAUUUCAAUUUGUCUUGCUGCUACUUUAUGACUCAGGUCCUUAGAUCCCCUUUUCAAGAAAAUCAGUUCAAGCAUCACACUACAUCUUUGGCAAAGGCAAAUACUGUAAUUAAUUCACUUUUCUUCUUCUUCUUUGCCUUGAAUGCCCACUUCCUUCCCAUCCUCCCGUGGCUCAACUGCCUCCUUAGCUUCGUUCUGAUGUAUUUAAUCAAUUUAUGGAUAGUUUUAAUGUUGCGCGAUGUGCUUCAAAAACCUUUUGGGUGUUUUCCUUGCUGUUUCCUUCGAUUCCUUUGUUCGCUUUUACCUUCUAAUUUGGACAAGGCUUCCUCACUCCCCGCAAUAGCUUUCUGAUCUCCAAAUUGAGAAAGAAAGCAGAGGGAUGUCCAUAGGAUAAAAGAAAUAUAUCAAUAGAUUACUUUAAGAAACUGCACGAAGUGGAUAAAUGUAUGGUCUGAAAAUGACAAAGAAUGUAAAUAUUUAGGUACCCUCAGUAGUAAUGUAGAAGGGAGGAAAUUAUGUAAAAUUCAGAAUAUUAUUAUGGUAUGAGGGUUGAAUGAAAAGUAAUGCCUCCACCUUCGUAAGUCCUCAACAGAUGGCAGUCCUGGUCUGUGGCAGGUCCUGGCUUGUUCAGUAGACUCUCCUCUACAGUUCCAUUUGGUGGGAAGCCUUAGCAUUGAAUGGUAGUGUUGUUAAAGUGUGAAGUAUGGAACCCUGCACAGACAUUUGGUCAAUGCGACUUAAGCAACAUGCAGUCACUGAAUUCUUGACAGCAGAAGGUGUCACCCCAAAGGAGAUUCAUCAGAGAAUGCAAGCUGUUUAUGGUGAUUGUGUUAAAGAUGUUGAGGUGGGAACAUCUGACUUGCAUGACAAACAAAGAGUUAGACGUCCUGUGACAGCAACCACCGAGUUUCACAAGCAAAAGGUUGACAGAUUGAUUCAGGACGAUCAUCGUAUUACUCAGAGAGAAAUUUCAAGCAUAAUCGGCAUUUCACAAGAAUGUGUGGGUCACAUGAUUGCUUUGCUUGGCUAUUGGAAGAUCUGUGUACGAUGGGGACUGUGAGACGCCGGUUGCGGAAACUGAGUGUUGACUUCUUCCGUGACAGCUUCAGAAAACUUCCCAUUCAAUUGUCUGGUGAUUAUGUGGAAAAGUGAAUAGUGGUAGUUAAAGAGCACAUUCUAAGGAUUAUUUCUGCAUUUGAUUUAUUAAAUUAUUCCCACCCAAACGCAAGUAACGAAGGUGGAGGCAUUACUUUUCAUUCAACCCUCGUAGAUGUUUCUGAACCAAUUGGGCAGCUCACAAGGCUUGCAUUAGUGGCUUAUAGUUAGCAGACCACACAUGGAUGUGUUUGGAAAGAAACGAUGGGUGCAUCGAUAUUGUAGAAUUAAUGCAGUUUGAUACCACGUUAACUGUCAUGGCUUAAGGCUAAGGAAUCAUGGGAGGUGUAGUUUUCUUUUCCAAAGUGUGCUGGUGCUUCACGAAACUAUAACUCCUAUGAUUUCAUAGCAUUGAAGUGGUGUCGAGCUACGUUAAUUCUACAAUGUAGGUGCGCACUCUGUGUAGGAUCAGGCUGCAUGAAUUGUCAUUCCCUUUUCUCAUAUCUAUUCAACUUGAGGCAGUUGUAGCAACCUAUAGUUUUCAGUUUUUUAUUUCCAUGUCAGGAGUGACUUGAGAAACUGCAAGUCAUUUUUGGUGUGAUAGAAUUGGCCAUCUACAAGGACUUUGCCCAGGGGAUGCUCAGAUGUUUUGAUGUUUUUACCAUCCUCUCUCAUGUCCCCGCAUGGAGCUGGAGCUGAUAGAGGGAGCUCAUCCGCGCUCUCCCCAGGUUGGAUUCGAACCGGCAACCUUCAGGUCAGCAACCCUACCUUCAAGUUAGCAGUCCUGCCAGCACAAGGGUUUAACCGACUGCACCACUGGGGGCUCCUUUUCGUGUUGAUUCCUGCUUUAUCAUACACAGAAAACUAUACAAUUUAACUGCAAGCUGCAUUCACAAGUGAGUCAGAAUUUGUUUUGCUGUUGUUGUUGUUGUUGGUGGUGGUGGUAGUGGUGUUGUUGUUGAAAGAUGUGCAUUGCAAUAACAUUUUCUGAUUUGUAAUACAACACAGCUCGUGUUGUCAGUCACUGGAGUCCUAGAGUUAUAUUUAUUUUUGCACAGGGAACAAAGAACCGCCUUGAGUCUCCCUUAAAGGGGAAAUAGAUUGAAUGAAAGUGUAAACAAAGUCUGUGCCAUGGAUGAUGAAGAAAUAACGGGGAGGGAGUUUUUGACUGUCACUACUGGAAUAGUUAAUGUAGUAUUUGGCUGUGGUGGCAGUUAGAAGAACCCACCUCUCACCUUCCUGCUCCUAAGAAAUCCGCACAUUUCCUCUGCCAUAAGUGAGUACAGGAUGGCGAAUCAAAGGAGCGCUUCUUACAACCUUCCGGGCCCUCUAGCAUUUGGUUUGCAGUGCAGAACUGCUUUGGGCACCGGAUCAAAAAUUCAUCUCGUACAUGCUACAGAUGUGAUCACCAAAAGUAUAGAAUCCUAGAGUUGGAAGAGAACACAAGGGCUAUCCCAUCCAACAUCCGACCGUGCAGGAAAACACAAUCAAAGCAGCUCCAACAGAUGGCUAUCUAGUUUCUGCUUAAAAAUAAACCCAGAGAAGGAGACUCCACCACACUCCACUGCCAAAUAGCUCUUACCAUCAGGAUGUUCUGCCUAAUGUUUAGGUGGAAUCUUUUUUUCCUGCAGUUUGAAUCCAUUCCUCCAUGCCCUAAUCUCUAGCCCUGCAGAAAAACAGCUUGCCCUCUCCUCAAUGUAAUAUCCUUUCAAUUAUUUAACAAUGGCUGUCUUGUCCCCACUUCCUUUCUCCAAACUAACCAUACCCAGAGCCCAAACCAUUCCUCAUAGGAAUCCGUGGCUGCUGGAUAUUUGAUCAUUUUGGUUGCCCUUCUCUAGCUUGGAGCCUCCAGUGGUGUAGUGGGUUAAACUGCUGAGCUGUUGAACUUGCUGACCAAAAGGUUGGUGGUUUGAAUCCAGAGAGUGGGGUGAGCACCCGCUGUUAGCCUCAGAUUCUGCCAACCUAGAGGUUCGAAAACAUGCAAAUGUGAGUAGAUCAAUAGGUACUGCUCUGGAGGGAAGGUAAUGGCACUCCAUACAGUCAUGCUGGCCACAUGACCUUGGAGGUGUCUAUGGACAAUACUGACUCUUCGACUUAAAAAUAGAGAUGAGCACCAACAUCCAGAGUUGGACACGACUAGACUUAACAUCAGGGGAAACCUUUACCUUUCUGUUUAUUAUUAUGCCAGGAUUUUUGCUAUAUUUUAUUAUAUUUUUCUGUUCAUCUAUCAGAGAAAGGCAGGAUCUAAACUAAAAAGAAAACAAAGAUGUGUGAAACCUGACACGCAUCAACAGGCCAGCAGCAUAUGCAUCCUGGCAAUAAUAAUAAUAACAACAACAACAACAACAACAACAACAACAACAACAACAACAACUUUAUUCUUAUACCCCUCCUCAUCUCCCCAAAGGGACUCGGGGCGGCUUACAUGCGGCCUUGCUCAGACACAACAAUAUAAAAGCAAGCACAACAAUAAAGCAAAUUACUCAACAAUAAAACAUCAACAUCGAUAAAAACAGUCAUAAAAUGUCAAUAUACAAAAUAAAGUGUUAAAACAAGAGAUGAAUUCACGGAUCUGGGCCAAAGUGCAAAAUAUGUCAAAGUCAUCAGGGAGAGGUAGUUACGCAGCUGAAAUAAGUCUCUCUCCUAUUAUUUGACAAGGAGGAGAAAAGCAGCCUCUCAGAUUUCAUAUUCAAAGGAGAAGCCCGUCAUAUUGGGGAUAAUGGGCAAUCCUGAACAUUUUAGUACUCGGGAAAUGAGAUGUGCUGCAGCUGUAAAACCAGGUCAGUUUAGUGCAUUUAAAUGUGGAAAUGUCCUGAAAAUGUGGUACUGAUGGAUUGUAAAGAACUGUGCGUCUGAAUUAGAAACUUCCUUUAGUUUCCAAGAAUAUGGAAAACUGUUCCAACUUCAGUGAAACCGACAUGUUUCAAACAUAUAAGUUGUUCAUGCAUUAUAUCUGUAUACAUAAACAUGCACAGCUGUUUGUGAAAAUAUAUAUAUAUGAUCACUUUCAUAAAUUGUUGGGUAUCAUUCCUGGACUGCACAAGUUUUUGUGUCAUCAAGUUUCUAGACCUCAAUAAGGAGUUAGACUAGAAACAGGGCUAAGCUGAAGGAUUCCUUUCCCCACAUUCCUAUGCAUGCUUUCAUAAAGAGCUUUGCCUGUGUUAUUUACUGCUUGCCACUGUCUCCUUCCCCUUUGAUGCUUUGCUAUAUUUUGGUGAAAUUUUCUUAAGAUUCCCCAACAAAGGGUUAUGGGCCUAGCACAUAAAUACAUAUUAUUUUGUCUUUUACAACAUGAGAAUUCCUUUCUGAUAAAUAGAUAAUUCAGUUCUGCCAAGAAAUUCUUAAAAGUCUUCCUCCUAGAUAUUUUCAGUAUUUCUCCCCAAAAUCCAAAAUAUUGGUUGAGAUCCUGCAUUGGGAUAUGUAUGUGUUUCACACAGCUAUGCCUCUAUAUGUUUCCCAAUAUGACAAGCAUCUAUGGUGAGCCCAUGAGGUUUGGUUACAGGUGCAUGCCUUAGUUACCUCUAGACUGGACUACUGUAAUGCGCUCUAUGUGGGGCUUUCCUUGAAGACGGCUCGGAAAUUACAACUGGUCCAACGCUCGGCUGCCAGAUUAAUAACUGGGGCGAAUUACAGGGAGAGAUCUACUCCCCUGUUUAAGGAGCUCCACUGGCUUCCGUUCAUUUUCCGAUCCGAAUUCAAGGUGCAGACCAUCAUAUAUAAAGCCCUAAACGGUUUGGGACCCACCUACCUUCGUGACCGUAUCUCCUACCAUAAACCUGCCCGAUCUCUGCGAUCGUCAGGGGAGGCUCUCCUGUCGCCACUGCCUUUAUCCCAGACCCGCCUUGUAGGAACUAGGGAGAGGGCCUUUUCUGCUGUGGCCCCCCGUUUGUGGAACUCAUUGCCCAUUGAAAUCAGGCAAGCCUCCACUCUUUCAGACUUUAGGAAAGAUCUAAAAACAUGGCUCUUCCGAUGUGCUUUCGGAGAGUAACUGUUACAUGCUUUUUGUUACGCCCCCCAUUAUUUAUCCUCUAGACUGUCUGCUAUCUUUUCCUUAGUUCCCUGUGGUUUUAUUCUUAUCCUUUAUUCUUAUCCUUUUCUCACCCCGAGUUUUAACUGAGUAUUCGUGCGGCCUGCCCUGUUAUAUUGCUCUUUGGAUUUUGUGUUGUACUGUAUAUGAUUCUUUAUUGUAUUGUUGUAAUUGUAUUAUGAUAUGUUGUUUUUAUAUUGUGUUAUAUUGUAUUUUUCCCGGGCAUGGCCCCAUGUAAGCCGCCCCGAGUCCCCAUUGGGGAGAUGGUGGCGGGGUAUAAAUAAAGUUUUAUUUAUUAUUAUUA
Anolis carolinensis (green anole) is the source of this 12524-nucleotide RNA transcript. It is a transcript of the gene named protocadherin 19, with no coding region annotated. NCBI's taxonomy places the organism in Eukaryota, Metazoa, Chordata, Lepidosauria, Squamata, Anolidae. The record is from RefSeq and is a predicted model, not a curated record. The transcript has 7 exons.